GGGAGGAUCCAUAAAUUGUGUCGUUGUAUAUGACGAGUCAAAUGUCAUGCCUAAUUUUCGUAAUGCGCCGUGUGUGACGUCACCUCCAGUCUGAAGAAAUGGAGCUCGAAAACCCUAAUUCAACAAUGAAUUCUGUAUGUUGCUAUGUGUAUGAAGGAGGUAUCUUUGGUAACCAGCCUCUCUCUGCCAAAAUUCAACGGAAGUAUUUGUCCAAUAGUCGUAAUCCAUUUUGUGCCUGUACAAAUAAAUUUUUAUUCGUAAAAACAAUGUCGUCUAACUUACAGAACUUGAAGAAAAUACGUGACAGUGUGAGAGGCGAUUUCAUUCCCUCUGUUGUAAAGUUCGUUAACCAGUCGAUAGUUUGUGCCUUCGUGAGUGACGUAGAAUGUCAUCCCGAUGUUGCAGCCUAUCAAUUGGCGUUCUUAAAAGGAUACAUCACGUCAGCCACGGCAUCGUCGAACGUGAGGAAUACCAUUUGCGGAAUUUCUUCCGGCUUCAAACCCAUGGGAGGCAUCGUGCUCAUGCACAAACAAUCAGGUGGGCGUUGCAAGUGUAGGCUCCGCAACCAGCGUAUGGAUUAGCACUAAAAGUGCAGCAAGGUUUUAGCAGCGGAAUGCUUAAUUAGUCUUAGACGUCCGACAGUAUGUCGUGCUCGUUGCUACGAGGCAGGAACUAAAUCGAGCAGUCCAGGUCUGGCAUUUUUCUACAGAAGGACUUAAACGGACACAGAUGCGACAGAAGUUUGACAAACAUCCCUGGUGUCCAUAUCUUUAGACAACUCCCCUCGCCUGUAAAUUUGAACGUUUUUCGAAACAUCUGUUUCUGCGAUAAAACCAGAAUCACAACGUUUCAAUACCAAAGAUAUGGAAACGUAAGAUCUGACCCACAAUUCAGAAUGUAGUAGGAGUCAAUGUUUGUUUUGCCUUUCUAUGGGAAUUUUCACGAGCGCGUCACUAUAGGCCAACAUUUAGGUUCUACAACAAUCGUUUGAUUCAGUAUAUUUCACACAGUUGCAACCUGAUGCGACGGUGACGCUUCUAGAUCGCAGUCCUGGCAUGUUCGUCAUGUGCAGGACAUCCGGGAAUAAAACGUAUCGUUUUAUUUCACACGAUUUUGGUAGAUGUGAGAAGUGACUGUGUCGAUUGCGAUGAAUAUGGUGUCACGAAGAAAUCAUUAAUGUCUUUAUAGACAAUAAUACUUGUUCGAACGAUCCAACACGAAAUCGGGGAUAUUUUUGGUUGAGUGAUUCACGCGAUGAAAAUAUGGUGCUCUCAUUUAGCAUUCGGUUGGAUAGCACAUGCUGCCUUGAUACAGAUCGGAGUGGGCCAUUGCCCUUCGUGCGAGAAGUUCCAAUGACACAAUCUCAUUUAUUUUUUGGUCUUGCCACUGGACGUUCCCCACGACCUGGGCAUGUUGUGCAUGAAAAAUAAUACUAAAAUUGUGAUGGUAAACAUCUGCUGUUAAACUCCUUGAGUUUGCAGUAAGUGGCAGAAUUCAAUCAUAAUUUUGUUUAUUAAAAUCCAAACUUCCAUUUCAGCCGACAGAAUUGCGUUGCUCUUCCGCUUUCACCUAUAUGUACGUACGUACAGACUACGAACAUUAUUUCUCUGUUGUCUCAGUCAAUUGAAUCAACUACUUGAGCGCAAGGAUGUUGACUGGAAGGGAGAAAGCCAAAUCGUGCUUCAAACUUUGUGUCCAGCUGAUUUUAUGCUGCGUGACUUUAAUUGCAAUUCUGUCAGCUGGGAUCAUAUCAAAGGGGUCUAUUUGCUUCAUAAUUUCGUCCAUGAGCAGAGACAGAACUGUCUCCAAUGAUUCCGAUUCUUUAUACCAACAUGCUGAACGAUUCGCUUCGUGGAGCAUUUUCUUCAGUUUCGAAGUUUCUGAAUUAUUCGGUUUUCUGCAAUCGCUGCACGUUUGUUUGUUUCGCCGGGGUUGUUGAAAGCCUCCUCGUUUUGCAGAUUUUAUGACUGUGUUUCUAUUUGAGACUGCACAGGCCAUAGGAAUGGCUUUGCUAUUUGGUUCCGUUUGAACGUGUUUUUCGGCGGUAGGCCUACACGGUGUUUUGAUCACCAAUUGCCUUUAUUUGAUACCUGUCCUGUUCAAUUUCCUAUCGCGGAAACCUGACAAACCCAAGCGAGUGGCUAAAAUGACGAUGGAUGGAUUUGCAUUUCUUGCGCAGUUGACUGGCUGUUUGCAUUGGACCUUAAUCUGAGACACAACGACCCUGUUGAGGAAUAGCUACGAUUCCAGUUUCAUCCAGUCAGUGGAUGAUGGACUGGUUUCGUCAAGUUUGUGACAGUUUAACUUCAGUGGGGGGUUACAUUUUCAACCUCCAGAAGGGAUACUGUUUAUGGGGAUGGGUAAGAAAGUCUUUUUUCCCGGAAUUUUUUGAGUGGAUCGUUCUCUUCUCUCUCAAAGUUCAAGGUUUUUCAGAAUAGGUAAUCGACCAAAAUCGAUCAAAGGCUUUCAUAUUUUGAUACAAGUUGUUUUUUAGUCUUUACACGGACAGUGUCAUGUUCAGUUUACAGCCAGGAAUCCAACCGUGCACAAUCGCACAUGGUUUUCCUGGAAUGGAUGUGUACAGCUUGAAUUUUUCUUUAAAACAAUGGCUUUAACGUGGCCACAGACUACUGUACAUGUGUUAACUAGUUCGUCUCGACGUUCAUUUAUCCCAACUUUCAAGUGAACUUUAGUGUGGAUAUCUUUAUUUAUACUACGUACCUUACAAACAUAAGGGAGUACUCGAUUUAGCAAGUUCAUAAAUGCAUGGAGUUAAAAAGAAAAUGUUUUCAUUUGUAUGUGUUCUGUAAAACGUUAACAGUACAUCAGUGUUUCUGAUU
This 2840-nucleotide long non-coding RNA is filed under the name Daphnia magna. RNAcentral describes it as "uncharacterized LOC116923229, transcript variant X7". The record is from RNAcentral. Lineage: Eukaryota; Metazoa; Arthropoda; Branchiopoda; Diplostraca; Daphniidae.